UCACCCCUCAAGCCCUGUGCUUGGUGUUGGACGGCCGGUCGAGCGAUCGACCCCUCCUAAAGACAAUGACGGCGGCCUGCGGUUCCCCGGUACACUGAGCUUUUUACGGAGCACGUAUCGGACAAGGGCACCCGGGACCCGGUCCUCUCCUUUCACAAGGAAACUUCUAU
RNAcentral lists this unclassified non-coding RNA (170 nucleotides) under uncultured Herpotrichiellaceae. RNAcentral's name for it is "sequence contains ITS2". Lineage: Eukaryota; Fungi; Ascomycota; Eurotiomycetes; Chaetothyriales; Herpotrichiellaceae. The record is from RNAcentral.